UGUAGUCAAAUGGGGGCUCUGUCAAGAUAUGGGCCAUUUUUUGUGUUUUUAUACACAAUUACAUAGUAAAACCCUCCAAUAAAUAAAGAAAUUGAAAAUUAAAAAAAAAUACAUGAUGAAAUGUUUUGUUUUUCACAUAUAUCAUGCAAUUUUCAUUCUUCUUAUAAAAAAUGAAAAGAGAAUUGAAGGUAGCCUUUAUUGCAGUGACAAGGGGGCAUAUCAAAACACAAAAUUAGCACUUAUUUUAUCCAUCUAGACAUGAAAUAAGUCACCAUGGGUGUACAUAACAUCAACAAACGAUUGCAAUACUGUAUUAGUUUCUAAAAAAUAAAUAAUUCUUACAUUUUGAAAUAAUUUUCUCUUCAUGCUUUCUUUUUUUUCUUUAUACGCGACGAGAAAGACUAAAAUCGUUUACUUUUGGUUGGCCGUGUUUGUUUUUUUAACUCACAAAUUGAAUAAAACAAGGUAAAAUUAAUGAAUAUGUACCAAGAAAUUGAUACCUCAAAAUAAAUCAUGUUCCAAAGUUGUUUAUCACUUAAAAAUUAAAAAAAAAACAAAACAAAACAUGUAAAUAAUAGAAAUACCAGCUUUCAACAUGUACAGUCUAUAGAGUUACCAGGUAUGCAAGAUCAGCGAAACAUUUUAGCGCAAUUUGACGUCAUUUUAAUUGUGACGUUAUUGUAAUCAAUUGUGACGGCAGUCAAAGGUACUGUGACGUGCCUGAGUCGACGCUGCGUUAAAACGUAUGCGCAGUUCAACUAGAUCGGGCCUCGUUAA
Long non-coding RNA from Saccostrea cuccullata (small rock oyster), 777 nucleotides. RefSeq lists it as uncharacterized. The transcript is spliced from 2 exons. Lineage: Eukaryota; Metazoa; Mollusca; Bivalvia; Ostreida; Ostreidae. The record is from RefSeq and is a predicted model, not a curated record.